UUAUUAAGAAUUUUGUCUUCCACAUCUGUUGACAUGUAUGCAUGUAGAUAUUGAUUUAUCCAAUAUUAAUUAUUUUUUUCAAUAUCUACAUGCAUACAUGUACAUGUCAACAGAUGUGGAAGACAAAAUUUUUAAUAA
Molecule: small RNA, 138 nt
Filed under: Mytilus galloprovincialis (Mediterranean mussel)
Lineage: Eukaryota; Metazoa; Mollusca; Bivalvia; Mytilida; Mytilidae
Source: RNAcentral